This is a long non-coding RNA of Apis cerana (Asiatic honeybee), 8041 nucleotides long. RefSeq lists it as uncharacterized. NCBI's taxonomy places the organism in Eukaryota, Metazoa, Arthropoda, Insecta, Hymenoptera, Apidae. The record is from RefSeq and is a predicted model, not a curated record.
UCUUAAGGGAGAGGGAUUUAACUCGAGCUCAAUCGAAGGAGAGAACUGGAUUCGAAGGAGGCGGUGUAUCUCGACGUCUAUCUGUAAUAAUAACGUGUACGACAACAUGUCAAAUUAUUCAGAAGUUGCGAGGCACGCAGGCGUGUACGCGAGUGUUUGCACGGGGGCGGCUCGUGCGUGCGUGCGUGCGUGUGCCACGUCGAGGAAACCACGUCCGGGGUUGGUAUAGCGGGCAGACACGUGUUCGCGGUGGCGGUGGCUCUCGACAGCAGUUUUAUAAUUGCCGGUAAUCUCGAUGUAGCGCGAGAUUCGAUGAUCUUUCGUUGGGGAUAAUAACGAAGAGAUUCUUCUGUUGAAAUAAAAUUAAGAAAAAAAAAAAAGAAACAAUUGCGAACACUAGCGAUGAUUAAUUCGAAACAAGUCGAUAUUUAUCCGGGCAACUGCAUCGAGAAUGGGACAAAGAUCUCGAUCGAAGGUAUCCCGUUCACCGAGUUGUACGAGUUAUACGAUCGAUGGAAAAGUCGUGAUAACGACCUUUCUCUAUCGAGAUUGACAUUUAGAUUACACGACUCGUGGAUUGUCAUGCGAACAGUGGACCCCUCUAAUAGGCUCUAUUAGCAUGAAACGGUGUAAUCGGUUCGUCGUAUGCACACACACGCCGGAGAAAAGGGAACGACGAAUGGCAUGCCUCUCCCCAAGGCUGCCACCUUUUCGACUCGACGCUUUCGCAUCUCCCGAACACUACGUGCAAUGCAACUAUAUUCCACAUUUCCAAUUUUUUCCAAACUUACUCCUCCCUUAAACCACUUUUUACCAAGCACCUGCGAUCAAUCUUGAAACGAUCAAAACCUCCACGCGAGAAUUGAUCGAUCACGCCAAGCGCCAAGUUGGCAGCCCUGCCCCUCCGUCUCUCUCGUUAUGCGCGCGCAUCACGUGACUCGAACUCUCGAGCAUACCAGCUGGUAAUGCGCCUCCUCGAAGGAGACGCGCACCUGCGGCCGCCCUUCCGUCUAAUUAUUCGGCCGGCUUUUUUAACUCGCGGCGAUUUAUAUCGAGCAAUUAGCCCCGGCUGUAGCGCUAAUUGGAGUGAGAGCGGCGUAUAAACGUGGCCUGGACCACGGGUCGGCCGAUAAACACCGACUGUCUCGUUAGUGCCUCGCGUGGGGUCCUCGGUGCACUUUCGACGAGGAAAGUUUUCGAGGAGGGGCAGGGCUCUCGAUUCAAUUUGAAAAAUACCGCGCUGUGUCCGGGGACGUUUUGAACGUGCACUUUCUAAUUAACAAUCGAGGAAGAGGAUAAAGAUCGAAUUUUCACUCGAACGAGUUUCAAACUUUGAAAAAAGUUUGGAAAACUCAUAUUGCGGAAUUGACUCAUAUUUAAAAUUCUAGAAUUUUGAAUUUCGAAAACGUUCUUUGAUAUUGAUAUGAAUUAAAAAUGGAAAACACUGGAGCUAGAGAGACUGAUUGCCUGAGUUUGGAUCUUUAGAGAAGAGGAUUAAUUUCUAACGGAGAUAAAUCCUGUAAUUCGAUCUCGAAACCGCGUGUUUCCAAACACCGUUAAAAAAAAAGAUAUUCAAAUUUCGCAUCGGAAAGGGAAGAGAAAUGACCGAGGCGUGGAAUCGGUAAGAGUAGGUCUACAGAGCGAGAAAACGGACUAAGAAACGUUUAAGGUUUCAAGGUGUUUAGGAGCAGUUUCGUACGCGGCGAGCAAAUUGCCCGUUUCGACCCAUCUUACGUUCCCCGAAAAGUGGCCUGUUCCUGGUUAAUGACGAGGCAUUUUCGCGCCUCCCUUCGCUACCUGCCAGACAUUGAUGGAUACUAUCCUCGAUUCCAGGCUAUUUUAAUUUAUGUUUUCGCACGAGAAAUCCGGAUUUCCUUGUUUUAUUCGCCCCCGUUUGGGACAGAAUCGUCUAACCUCUUUCCAUUUUGCAUCCUGCAUCGUCAUCAAAAAAAUUUUAUUCGACUUGGUCUCCUUACCUAUUUUGAUUGAAUAAAAUUUAAAAAAAAAAAAUAUAAAGAUAGAUAAUAUUUAUACUUUGCUGCCAUCUUGGAAAAAUGAAAAGUUAAUUAAUAAAGGUUGGCGGAUUGGAGCUCGAAUCAAAAAUCGAUCGCAUCGAUCCACACUGGAAGAAAUGACGUGAAAGGUAUGUGAAUCCAUAUCGACAUCCUACGUACGAUCUACCGACUAUCUUUCCCCUCCAGUCGAACUGUCUCGUCUAUUCCCACAGAUGAUGGAAUUUAUAAGACGUGACACAACGACUAUCCACAGCUGCAUCGUUCAUCGGUAUCUUCUUCGUUGAGAAUUGCCUCGUGCACUCGUCCAUGCAUAUGCAUAAGCACGAUACACUGGCCGUUUAUCCUCUGGUCGAUUUUUAAUAAUGGUAUUUAAGUCUUAUCAAAGUGUAAAAAUACAUUGUAAUCUCAUAUUUUAACAUAUAUUUUACAUAUCAAGUAAUAUUAUUCAGAUCGUAAUAAAUAAAAAUAAAAGGUGAAUAAAUUUUUAGACGUGGACGUUAAGUGACUGAGAGAUUAAAAUUUAACGGCAAUAAUUAAGUCUAAUUAAAGUCAAAUACAAUUUAUAUCACUGGUGGAUUUACGUUCCAAGAUCGAGUCCAAUCUUUUUAAUUUAUUUACGCAAUAUAUUUUCCAAACUAAUUUUACCGAUUAUAAAUUUUUCUAUAAAUUCUGAGACAGAUACGAAUCGACUAUUGUGACAAUAGAGAAGAGCAGCACUGAGAUAAUCAAGUAGUUGGUUCAUUGUUUAUCUUUCGAAACCUAUUCGUUCGUUAUUAUACGCGAUUAUACGUUUUCCAAAUUGUGUAUAAAGCACAAAUUCUGAAAAAAAAUGCCCGGAUAUUAUAUACACAAUGAAAGGAAAGAGGGCAGCACCAGAGGGUCCAGUUGCGCGAGAUCUCUCGUGGCAGAUAUGGCGUUGGCCCCUAAACAUCCACCAUUAUAUUAAAUUGUGUAUAUUUCCCUUCAUAAUUACUCGAAUUAUGUAAAUCGGUAUGUUAAUACGCUGCAUCCACCCUCCUGAACCCCUUCCUCUUCGCUACGCAAAGCCUCUUCCUCUCGCGCAGUACCUCGACCGCCACGCCACCGUACGAUUACAGCAAUUUCGUUUAAGCGUGCGCUAAAUGUUACUUUAUGCGCUUUUUAUUCAACCGGCAUCCGGUCUCGCGGAUACGUGCACCGUCGUCCCUCAGGUCCUCUUUUCUAGAUCGUGCCCCGUUUAACGCGCGCCUCUAUUUACAUAAUAUUUCGCGAGGAGAUACGUAUCGAACGUCGUGAGCGUGCUCGACUCCCGAAAAAAGAGAUCUCUGGUCGUCGUGAACGUUGAAAGUGAGUGAUUGGUUUAAAAAAAGAAAUUGUUCGAUACAUCUUCUUUUUCCAAAAUUCGAAAAUUGGUUGAACUGAUGAGAAAGAAAUAAUCUAUCGAUAUCAAUAACAAGAACAAGAUCCUAACCUAUAAGCUUGAAAUUUAUACGACCAAGAUAAAUCGGUAGAAAGUGCAUUGGGCGUAAUCGGACUGUAAAAGAAUUUUCACCGAAACGAAAAAUAUAUAAAAAAAAAAAAAAAAAAGAAAAUUCUUAAUUAAACGAGACAAAGACAAAUCGGUAGAAAGUAAAACACGACAACUACGAAAGAAUUUUUACAGCGCAACCGUGGCCGUGCUCGUUUAUCUCGUAUAGUUUCUCGUCCCAAUUAUCCGUCGCGUGAAAAAUUUAUUCUUUCCGCAUAUUUUACGUUAGUCGGCCGGUGUAGCCGCCCUAUUUACAUAAUUUUUCGCGAGAUCGAUAUCGGGGCAGAGAUUGCACCGCUUUAAUGAGGCAGGGCAACGAAAUUAGGAAUCUAAAGCCAUUCACGCGGACCUGACCACGCAAGGUGAUCAACCGGCGAUCGACGGAUAAGUGCGAUCUCUGUUAUUAGCGAUAGGAAUCGAUUCAUAAAGCAAAUCGACAACCACCGAAGGCGGUCGUACGAGGGCGCGCAACUCAAUUCACUCAUCGUGUUUCGGGUUUAAGUUUAGCGCCCUCUCUCGCGUUAAUACUCUCGGUAAUGUCGUGUAAACAUGGUGUCGUACAACGUGUUUUUCGUGGAUUCGUCGUUUUAAAAGUUUCGAGUCUGACAAGAUUUCGAAAAAUUAUGACAAGAUAUCGUGGUGAGGUUAUGAUACGUGUGAGUAAUGAUUACGUUUUUAUUAACGGUAACAGGGAAAAUUUUAUGUACGAUAUCUUUUCCUCUUUUGCGACGAUAUCGGAAAAAUUAUCAACGAUACAACAAUCGUCCGUAUAACCUAGAACGACAUAUCACGCGUAUAUGAUAAAUGUCAAGUAAUAAAUAUUAUUGGAAAAAAUUAAAGUAUGAUAGCUAAUUGGUUAUUGUGUAUAGCAGUAAUAUACUUGCUUCUAAGUAUUUUUUAUAGUAUAAUAGUUAAAUUCUUAUUCUAUAUAGCAGUAAUAUACGUAAUUCUAUACAUUAGUUAUUUACUUUUUAUUAAUUACAGGUAAUUAAAGAAAUUUUCACUUAAAUUAAGAAUUUAUCAAUAUAAAUGAAUUCAGACAGAAUAUACUACCGUUUAUUUGCAGCGAAGUCAACGAAUAGAACGAAUCAUUACUUCAUGGAAUUAUUUUUCAAAACUAUUCACACAUUUUCUCAAUAACUCAAAAACUUCAAGUCGAACGUUAAUCUUAACAAGAGCACUCACCAUGCCCCGACAGUCUUGCCAACAUCUAAACGCUGUUCGAUCCCUUCUUCCCUGAAACAGGUCUCGGAGACUCGUCCAAUUGACACAUCGGAAGGCACGUUUCCAGAUCAAGUUCAUCGAAUCGGAAGAACGAUAUUAUUAACGACUCGGUUCUCGUUUUUUCUCGUAGGAGAGCCGCGUACAGAUUACCGAGUAAUCCACGGCCUCAUUACCGACGCCAAUUAUCGAAUGGGACGAAUCGAUCGGUGGCAAACGAUCCCCGCCGACUCUCAAUCAACUUUCCGAGGCGAAGGACGCUGAUCGACGAGCAGCCGGAUGACGAUCGACUGCAAUUUCGAUGAUGAUACGGAAUUAUCCAUCUGAGAGAAGGGAGAUAGCAGCAACCGGGCCCUGAACGACGAAGUACACACACACCCCACCCCACUUGCUCGAUACGUGUAUCGGGCCAUCGGUGUACGAGAACGCUUGGAGAGGCUUUAUUACACGUAGGACGGAGUGGAAGGACGAUCACGGAUCCGCGGGCGAACUUCGUUACGGACCUAUGUGAUUUUCCAUGCAAAUUGAGUUGUUCGCCUGUCAUUAUGCUAAUAAAAGUAAUGACGCGUCGCGUAUGUACCGAGUAAUGCAGCUGCUGUAAUGAACCACGGUGUAGUAUAUCGGCUUUGGAGGUCCUCGCACCGUUUCGAGAAGCGUGACACCGCGACGUUUUCUACGCUUUUGUGGAACGCAACACAACGCAACACUCUGGCCGAAGCGAGAAAAUAUUAAUAAAGAGAGUUGGAUUCGUACGAGCAAUAACCAGGUUAUUCAAAUUUCCUAUUCGGUACAUCGUUGCGAUAGUCGUCUCGUUUCGAAUCUCGUGCAACGCUUUUAUUAUUCUCAUAGCCGAGAAAGUCCUAACCUCAAAUACGAUUUCCUCUUUAUUAUUCUCCAUUCUCUUAUUUAGUCUUAUUUCGAUUUCCAUUAAAGAUCGAAUGUAUUUCUAAUUAAGUAAAGUAAAUAAAUAAAUAAAUAAUUACAUCAGAUAUCACGUUACGUAAACAAGUUUAUAUAACAAGAGACACGCUAUUAAUUACAAUUUCAUUGUAUACCAUCGAAUUGUCUUUGUUGUAUACGUUCGCAGUACACGUGCACAUGCCUUCGCCAUCUUAUCUAAUGAUAAAUCAUUUAUAAGGGAAGUGGAUAAAUGACAUCUGUCCGGUUAAUUAGUUCGAGAAAUGUCGCGGUGCGGCGCAUGCGUGAGGAAAGAGAAUGAAGGAUAUGGAAGUUUGUUCUGGAAAUCUGAUCGAGAAACACGUGCAUAUUUUUUUUUCUUUCUUUCUUUCUUUCUUUUUAAUAACGGGUUACGAUCGAUACGGAAAGUGAUAUCGAGGGAUCGGAGGAAUUCUUCGAAAAAAUAAUAGGGUAAGAUGAUAGUAAUUAUCGCGAAUGAUGUUUAUAAUUAUUUCGUUAACACAUUUGCAUCAUCGUUACGUGAACACGCGAGAAAUUUAACCUUAUAUGUUAUAUAAAUAUUUUUUCUUGCAUUUACGAUCGAAUUUACGCAAGAAAAUUACUCGUGGAAACGAUAAUUAUUUUUUUUUGAAACUCACGAGACUGUGAAAGUUAAUUAUGAUGUAUGCCAUUACUUACUUUUUACUUUGUCAUUAUUUUUUAUGAAUUUUUUCAGUUUAAAGAAUUAAAAAAAGGAACAAAAUAUGUAAAAAGACCAAAAAUCUAUAUACAAAAUCGAUUUUUUCGUCGAAAUUUUUCACAAAAAGCAGCACUUGUCACCUAACCUAAACCACACAAAGUGUCACGAGUAUCGAGUACCUCAAAUACGAUUCGAAACUAGUUGAAUUUUGAAUCGACGGAUUCUCGUGUUCAAAAAAAUAAGAGAAAAAAAGGGAACGCGAGAGAGCGAAGAGAAAACGACGAUGCAUCGAGACGAUGUCUAUCAUCGACGUCUCCGUUUCUCACAAAGCGGUACUCGUCACUCGGCCGAUGCAUCGUGGGAGUGAUUGCGGAAACGUCUGACGGUGGCGCAGCCGCGUUUACGUGCGUGCAUAAUGCAUAUCGCGUGACUUCGUCACGGAUCCGGACAGUUACAACGUGUACACGCGUAACAAUAUCGCGUAUCAAGGGGAAUCUCGUUGCUCCUCUCUCUCUCUCUCUCUCUCUCUCUCCCUCUCGUACACUCGCUCACGGCGACGUCUGGCAUUUUAAUCGAAGCUGCGAGGGAGAAAUGGAUUGCCGGCGGCGGAACGCGUUAUCCUCGCGGCCGGGGUACCGUAACGAUCGCGUUAUAAAAUAGAGACCGUAAGCCACUUUGCUACAAUCCCAUGACUUUUUCUCGAACGAUCGUCCAUCGCGGAAACCGUCAUAAUUAGGGACGAGUCGCGAUUACGAUAUCCGAUUUGUUGGGCUGAUGAGGUCCGUUUUGGUUUAGUCUUAGUUUAGGAAGGAUCGUUGAGGGAGAUAUUUAUUUGAUAUUUGAACGAUUUUUGUUAUCGAUAAGGGAGAUGUUGAUGGAUGAUCGAAGAGAAUUAGGAAGGUGGUGCCCUCUAGCGGAGAAUAAUAAAAAAUAAUGAAUUUCGCUCGACUCGUUCCUUUUCUUGUUAGGUUAUGUAAGCGUGGAAAGUGAUGUAUUUAAGAAAUCUUUCGGAGUAAUUAUAUAUUCGUUGGCAAAAUUAAAAAAUUUCCUCCAAUUUCUUUCGAAAAACUUUUCGAUCGACGAUUCUGGUAACUAAAUAAGAAAAAUAAUACAUGAAGUAACGAUUACCAGCAACACAAUAUCGGGAGAACCGGUUCAAAAUUAAAAAUAACGCGAUUAUUCGUUAAACAGGCCGAGUUUUUCACGUGACGCGAUCGUGUUCCGAGCAAUUUGUAAAACAAGAAUCACCGGUCUCGCGUAUAUACGCCUCGGAUCGCGGCCUUGCCUUUUUUCCAACGCGCGCCGCCUGUAUCGCGAGCGGCGCUAUAAGCUGGCAAUUAAAAGCGUGCAGCAGGGACAUUUAUGUUGGCACUAACUGCCCGUUAAGACGAAGGAACCGCCUAACCGUGGAAGGUGUAAUUGGCCGGCGUGGUGAACCCGCAGCUCGUAAAACAGCGGGCGUGCCUAGCCGAGGGCCGCAAUUUUUCCGCCAUCGCGUAUCGCGUUACCGUGAAUUUUUCGAUCGAUCCUUCGAAAAGGCCGUAACGCGUUUCUCCCUUUCCAAUCCUCUCUCUCUCUCUCUCUUUCGAUCGGUCGAAUUCGUUUUAUUUUCGAUUAAUUCGUCUCUCUACUGCGGCACGUAUACCAUUGACUCUACAAAAUUUGAUUCGAACAAUAAAUACGAUAAUAAAAAAUAAAGUU